GACGAACGCUGGCGGCGUGCUUAACACAUGCAAGUCGAACGGAAAGGCCCCUUUGGGGGUACUCGAGUGGCGAACGGGUGAGUAACACGUGAGUAACCUGCCCUUGACUUCGGGAUAACUUCAGGAAACUGGGGCUAAUACCGGAUAGGAAUCCUUGCUGCAUGGUGGGGGUUGGAAAGCUUCGGCGGUUUUGGAUGGACUCGCGGCUUAUCAGCUUGUUGGUGGGGUAGUGGCUUACCAAGGCUUUGACGGGUAGCCGGCCUGAGAGGGCGACCGGCCACAUUGGGACUGAGAUACGGCCCAGACUCCUACGGGAGGCAGCAGUGGGGAAUAUUGCACAAUGGGCGGAAGCCUGAUGCAGCAACGCCGCGUGCGGGAGGACGGCCUUCGGGUGGUAAACCGCUUUCAGCAGGGGCGAAGCUUGUGGUGACGGUACCUGCAGAAGAAGCACCGGCUAACUACG
Molecule: ribosomal RNA, 463 nt
Filed under: uncultured bacterium
Lineage: Bacteria
Description: partial 16S ribosomal RNA
Rfam family: Bacterial small subunit ribosomal RNA
Source: RNAcentral